GACGAACGCUGGCGGCGUGCUUAACACAUGCAAGUCGAGCGGUAAGGCCCUUUCGGGGGUACACGAGCGGCGAACGGGUGAGUAACACGUGGGUGACCUGCCCUCAGCUCUGGGAUAAGCCCGGGAAACUGGGUCUAAUACUGGAUAUGACUCCAUGACGCAUGUUGUGGGGUGGAAAGCCUUGUGCGGCUGAGGAUGGGCCCGCGGCCUAUCAGCUUGUUGGUGGGGNGAUGGCCUACCAAGGCGACGACGGGUAGCCGGCCUGAGAGGGCGACCGGCCACACUGGGACUGAGACACGGCCCAGACUCCUACGGGAGGCAGCAGUGGGGAAUCUUGCGCAAUGGGCGAAAGCCUGACGCAGCGACGCCGCGUGAGGG
RNAcentral lists this ribosomal RNA (378 nucleotides) under uncultured bacterium. RNAcentral describes it as "bacterial SSU rRNA". It matches the Rfam family "Bacterial small subunit ribosomal RNA", at positions 28 to 407 of the family's 1533-position model. The record is from RNAcentral.